AAAGCGUGCGCAGGCGGUUUUGUAAGACUGUCGUGAAAUCCCCGGGCUUAACCUGGGAAUGGCGAUGGUGACUGCAAGGCUAGAGUUUGGCAGAGGGGGGUAGAAUUCCACGUGUAGCAGUGAAAUGCGUAGAGAUGUGGAGGAACACCGAUGGCGAAGGCAGCCCCCUGGGUCAAAACUGACGCUCAUGCACGAAAGCGUGGGGAGCAAACAGGAUUAGAUACCCUAGU
Molecule: ribosomal RNA, 230 nt
Filed under: uncultured bacterium
Lineage: Bacteria
Description: partial 16S ribosomal RNA
Rfam family: Bacterial small subunit ribosomal RNA
Source: RNAcentral